This 631-nucleotide ribosomal RNA is filed under the name Pseudophaeobacter arcticus. Its description in RNAcentral is "bacterial SSU rRNA". It matches the Rfam family "Bacterial small subunit ribosomal RNA", at positions 66 to 743 of the family's 1533-position model. The record is from RNAcentral. Lineage: Bacteria; Pseudomonadati; Pseudomonadota; Alphaproteobacteria; Rhodobacterales; Roseobacteraceae.
GCGCACUCUUCGGAGUGAGCGGCGGACGGGUUAGUAACGCGUGGGAACGUGCCCUUCUCUAAGGAAUAGCCACUGGAAACGGUGAGUAAUACCUUAUACGCCCUUCGGGGGAAAGAUUUAUCGGAGAAGGAUCGGCCCGCGUUAGAUUAGAUAGUUGGUGGGGUAACGGCCUACCAAGUCUACGAUCUAUAGCUGGUUUUAGAGGAUGAUCAGCAACACUGGGACUGAGACACGGCCCAGACUCCUACGGGAGGCAGCAGUGGGGAAUCUUGGACAAUGGGCGCAAGCCUGAUCCAGCCAUGCCGCGUGAGUGAUGAAGGCCUUAGGGUCGUAAAGCUCUUUCGCCAGAGAUGAUAAUGACAGUAUCUGGUAAAGAAACCCCGGCUAACUCCGUGCCAGCAGCCGCGGUAAUACGGAGGGGGUUAGCGUUGUUCGGAAUUACUGGGCGUAAAGCGCACGUAGGCGGAUCAGAAAGUAUAGGGUGAAAUCCCAGGGCUCAACCCUGGAACUGCCUUAUAAACUCCUGGUCUUGAGUUCGAGAGAGGUGAGUGGAAUUCCGAGUGUAGAGGUGAAAUUCGUAGAUAUUCGGAGGAACACCAGUGGCGAAGGCGGCUCACUGGCUCGAUACUGA